RNAcentral lists this long non-coding RNA (1260 nucleotides) under Triticum aestivum (bread wheat). RNAcentral's name for it is "long non-coding RNA (TAES_LNC007952)". Lineage: Eukaryota; Viridiplantae; Streptophyta; Magnoliopsida; Poales; Poaceae. The record is from RNAcentral.
UUCAAUUUAAUCCGUUUAAACUGAAUGCAAAUAUGCUGAGUCAUGAUAAAAUAACAUGAUGCUAACUAUAAUACAUGAACAUGAUAUCAACAUCAUCAUGAGGGUAUCACAUAACUAUCCACCAUAUCAACAAUAACUCAUAUCCACUGAACAUCGCAUACUGACUAGCAUGACCAUCUCCAACAUCAACAUGUACUACUAACCAGCAUAAACAUAUGAAAGGUAAUACUAGCAGGUAUAACAUGAUCACAGAGUACAAAACAACAUAGCACAAAAGUAAACAUACAAAUCUAAACAUCACUGGAACAACGAUAACCAUCUUUUCAACAAGCAAACAUUUAUUAAAUAUUCAAGUUGAAAACCAUGGCUACUGCAUGACUAUCAUGCAAGUGGGUAUUGUGGCUUGCUUGGGGAUGAAGAAGGCACCGGGGAGAAUUGCGGUGAAGCCGCGGAAAGAUUUGCCGGAAACAGUUCUCUCUCGAAGGGGCUGAUUAAGGGAAGGGGCAAAAUGGUCAUUUUAGCAUGCCAAAACAUAAUGAAAGUGACACCAGCGGAAAGGGAUCGAUGAAACGAAGAAGUGAGCGUUGGUUUCACCUUAAACGAAGUUACGGUUGAAAAGUUAUAGAGGGAUGAAUUCCAGGGACUUUUCUGCAAAAAUUACAUCACAACCAAGUCCCUGAGUGGAUAAGGCAGAAACGGAUUUCAGAAAAUACGCUUUACAGACAGGAAGGCACAUUAGAACGCAAAGAACAACUGAAAUACACUUAGGUUAGCGGAAAACGUACUGUCGGAAGUACGCUUCCACUUAACGUACUUGGGCCUGCGGAAAGUUAACGCCUGAGGGGCCGACAGGUGGGCCCCGCAGUGCUCUCUCUCUCCUCCCACCUUCUUCCUCCUUUCCUCUCGACGCCGCGCAGAGGAGACCCGAGGCCGAGCGCUCCGGCGACGACUGACGUCGCUACGGGCCACCAUCCGCGGCGCUCGGACCAUCGGCGUGUUCGGGAGACGGAGCCGCGUCUGAUGGGUCAUGCCACGGACGCCGGAGACCACAGGAAUUAGCGGGGCGUCGGCCGCGGCGGAGGGGAGCUUCGGCUGGGAUCGGGCAUGGCACCGCAGUGGGGGAGAGAAGGGGGCUAGGCACCGGAGGGGUUCAGGAGGGGAUCAGGGGGUCGAGGGGACUCCUAUGGUGGUGUUGUAACAGGGAGAGAAGGCGCGGCUCGCCGGAAUCGAGCUUGGCAGAGACGGCGGCCAUGGCGGCCA